This 474-nucleotide ribosomal RNA is filed under the name uncultured bacterium. RNAcentral describes it as "SSU rRNA". It matches the Rfam family "Bacterial small subunit ribosomal RNA", at positions 26 to 518 of the family's 1533-position model. The record is from RNAcentral.
AGGACGAACGCUUGCGACGUGCCUAAGAAAUGCAAGUCGAACGGAAUUACCUUCGGGUAGUUUAGUGGCGAACGGUCGCGUAACACGUGGGCAACCUGCCCUGAAGCGGGGGACAACAACUCGAAAGAGUUGCUAAUACCGCAUGUGUAUCGGAAUGGCAUCAUUCAGGAUACAAAGGACUUCGGUUCACUUCAGGAUGGGCCCGCGGCCUAUCAGCUAGUUGGUAAGGUAAUGGCUUACCAAGGCUUCGACGGGUAGCUGGUCUGAGAGGACGAUCAGCCGGAUUGGGACUGAGAUACGGCCCAGACUCCUACGGGGGGCAGCAAUUAGGAAUCUUGCGCAAUGGGCGAAAGCCUGACGCAGCGACGUCGCGUGAAGGAUGAAAUCUUUCGGGAUGUAAACUUCUUUUACCAGGGAAGAAACAAUGACGGUACCUGGUGAAUAAGCCCCGGCUAACUACGCGCCAGCAGCCGC